GGCUCAGGAUUAACGCUGGCGGCAUGCCUAAUACAUGCAAAUCGAACGAGGUUAGUUUACUAACCUAGUGGUGAACGGGUGAGUAACAAGUAUCCAAUCUGCCCUUAAGAUGGGAAUAACUGACCGAAAGGUUAGCUAAUGCCCAAUAAUAACAUUCUUAUCGCAUGAGAAAAUGUAGAAAGACGCCUUUAAAGCGUCGCUUUUGGAUGAGGGUGCUCCGUAUCAGAUAGUUGGUAGGGUAAAAGCCUACCAAGUCUAUGACGCGUAGCUGUACUGAGAGGUAGAACAGCCACAAUGGGACUGAGACACGGCCCAUACUCCUACGGGAGGCAGCAGUAGGGAAUUUUUCACAAUGGGCGCAAGCCUUAUGAAGCAAUGCCGCGUGAACGACGAAGGUCUUAUAGAUUGUAAAGUUCUUUUAUUUGGGAAGAAACGUUAUGAUAGGAAAUGAUUAUAACUUGACUGUACCUUUUGAAUAAGUAUCGGCUAACUAUGUGCCAGCAGCCGCGGUAAUACAUAGGAUGCAAGCGUUAUCCGGAUUUACUGGGCGUAAAACGAGCGCAGGCGGAUCUGCAAGUUUGGUAUUAAAUCUAUGUGCUCAACGCAUAGCUGUAUCAAAAACUGCAAAUCUAGAGUGUAGUAGAGAGUUGGGGAACUCCAUGUGGAGCGGUAAAAUGCGUAGAUAUAUGGAAGAACACCGGCGGCGAAGGCGCCAACUUAGACUAACACUGACGCUUAGGCUCGAAAGUGUGGGGAUCAAAUAGGAUUAGAUACCCUAGUAGUCCACACUGUAAACGAUCAUCAUUAAAUGUCGGCACGAACGUGUCGGUGUUGUAGCUAACGCAUUAAAUGAUGUGCCUGGGUAGUACAUUCGCAAGAAUGAAACUCAAACGGAAUUGACGGGGACCCGCACAAGUGGUGGAGCAUGUUGCUUAAUUUGACAAUACACGUAAAACCUUACCUAGGUUUGACAUCGAUUGCAAAGCUAUAGAAAUAUAGUAGAGGUUAACAAUCUGACAGGUGGUGCAUGGUUGUCGUCAGCUCGUGUCGUGAGAUGUUGGGUUAAGUCCCGCAACGAGCGCAACCCCUUUCGUUAGUUAUUUUUUAACGAUACUGCUACUGCAAAGUAGAGGAAGGUGGGGAUGACGUCAAAUCAUCAUGCCCCUUAUAUCUAGGGCUGCAAACGUGCUACAAUGGUUGAGACAAACUGCUGCAAAACUGUAAAGUCAAGCAAAUCAGACAAAAUCAAUCUCAGUUCGGAUAGAGGGCUGCAAUUCGCCCUCUUGAAGUUGGAAUCACUAGUAAUCGCGAAUCAGACAUGUCGCGGUGAAUACGUUCUCGGGUCUUGUACACACCGCCCGUCAAACUAUGGGAGCUGAUAAUAUCUGAAACCGUACUGUUAACCGCAAGGAGGCAUACGUCUAGGGUAGGAUUGGUGACUGGAGUUAAGUCGUAACAAGGUAUCCCUACGAGAACGUGGGGAUGGAUCACCUCCUUUCUUCGGAGUAAUUUAUUAAAUUACACAAUCAAGUGUACGAAAUCACAAACAAAUCCAUAAUGAUUUGCCGCAAUUUAUUUUUUUAUAAAUCGUUAUGGUCGGAUUCUAUUUAGUUUUGAGAGAUUAUUCUCUCCAUAUAUCGACUGAUAUAUGUGGUCGAUCUUUGAAAACUGAAUUAUUAUCAACAAUCUUUCUAAUGAUUAGAUAUGCAAAUAUCUAGUCAACAGAAAUUAUAUUAAUUUAAUUAAUAUAGUUAACAAUCAUAUUAAAGAUACAACUUUAAGGAUUUAUUAUAAGUUAUUAAGGGCUUAUGGUGAAUGCCUUGGGACAAACAGGCGAUGAAGGACGUGCAAAUCUGCGAUAAGCGACGGGAAGCUGAUAAGAAGCUGUGAUCCGUUGAUUUCCGAAUGAGUAAACUCAAUAUAAGUAAUUUUAUAUUAUUACAUUAUGAAUUCAUAGUAAUGUAAGGCAAUACCUGGUGAAGUGAAACAUCUCAGUAACCAGAGGAAAAGAGAACGAAUGUUAUUCCGGUAGUAGCGGCGAGCGAAUCCGGAUCAGGCCAAACCGAAUCUUGAUUCGGGGUUGUAGGACUGCAACGUGGACUAAUUAUUGAUAGUGGAAUGAGUUGGGAAGCUCAAUCACAGAGGGUGAUAAUCCCGUACACGAAAUCAAUAAUUUACCUAGCAGUAUCCUGAGUAGGGCGGGACACGUGAAAUCCUGUCUGAAUCCACCCAGACCAUUGGGUAAGCCUAAAUACUAGUUUGUCACCGAUAGCGCAUAGUACCGUGAGGGAAA
RNAcentral lists this ribosomal RNA (2293 nucleotides) under Ureaplasma zalophigenitalium. RNAcentral describes it as "partial contains 16S ribosomal RNA, 16S-23S ribosomal RNA intergenic spacer, and 23S ribosomal RNA". The stretch from base 1 to 1498 matches the Rfam family "Bacterial small subunit ribosomal RNA". The record is from RNAcentral. Lineage: Bacteria; Bacillati; Mycoplasmatota; Mycoplasmoidales; Mycoplasmoidaceae.